CUUGGUAACAAGGAUUCAGCUCCUCUGCGUGGGUUUACAGCCCACUGCCUUCUUUCGGCCAUAUUACC
Molecule: transfer RNA, 68 nt
Filed under: Pachydactylus visseri
Lineage: Eukaryota; Metazoa; Chordata; Lepidosauria; Squamata; Gekkonidae
Description: tRNA-Tyr
Source: RNAcentral